RNAcentral lists this ribosomal RNA (346 nucleotides) under Gammarus leopoliensis. Its description in RNAcentral is "partial 16S ribosomal RNA". The stretch from base 70 to 346 matches the Rfam family "Bacterial large subunit ribosomal RNA", at positions 2078 to 2604 of the family's 2925-position model. Lineage: Eukaryota; Metazoa; Arthropoda; Malacostraca; Amphipoda; Gammaridae. The record is from RNAcentral.
CUAGCUUAUUAAGUUUGUUUAAUUAGAAAGAAAUUUAAAGUUAAGGUAAGAAUUCUUUAAUUUUCUAGGGGACGAUAAGACCCUAGAAGCUUGACAAACAGGGUUUUUUUUAGUUUUAGGUGGCAGUUUGUUUUACUGGGGCGGUAAAAAUAAUUAAGCUAUUUAUAAUUUAAAGGAUCCUUAAAAUAAAGAAAGAGUGGAGAAGUUACUCUAGGGAUAACAGUGCGAUAUUUUUGGAGAGAUCUUAUCGAUAAAUAUGUUUGCAACCUCGAUGUUGAAUUAAAAUGUCUUUAUGACGCAGGAGGUAUAUAAGAAGGUUUGUUCAACCUUUAAAUUUUUACAUGAU